AGAGGAGAGCCAGGAGCUGGGAGGGGAAGGAGGAGAAAAGCUGGAACCGUGGCCCCAGGACCCUGCACUCUGCCCCAAGGGACCAGCCAGGCUGAAGAUGCAGCCCCUAUCUAGGACGUGUAAACCUGAGAGAAAAGAGCCAGAGAGCUGCCAUAACCACAGGAUAGAUUCUCAGGCUUCUGCCCGGCACCGGCAUGUGGUCACUUCUUCUCACAUUUCAUCGGUCAGAGCAAUUCACGUGGCCAAGCCUGCCGUCAGUGGGUGUGGAAACAUGCUCUGCCCACAGGGAGAUUUUUGAAAACAUCACGAUUAGGAAUAAUAACAAAAAUAGUAAUGACAACAGCGGGCGUUCACUGAGAACUUGUUGCGGGUCAGGAGACUCGUGAAGGCUUCGCAUGGACCCCUUCACGGAGCUCCCACCACCCCCGUGAAGCAGGUGCGGUCGGUGCCCCCAUGGGGAAGUUGGGUACCACGACUGGGAAAUUGAGGCUCGAGGAUUUGGAGCUUGGAAUGGAUGGAGCUGUCACUGAACGUGGGUCAGCCUGUCUCCAGAAGCCACACUGAAUGUUUCCUUUGAUGCACAAACAACAAAAUCAAGAACAAAGGCCCCA
Molecule: long non-coding RNA, 611 nt
Organism: Physeter macrocephalus (sperm whale)
Lineage: Eukaryota; Metazoa; Chordata; Mammalia; Artiodactyla; Physeteridae
Exons: 3
Source: RefSeq, a predicted model, not a curated record